CUAAUAACGAUGAAGAGGAAGAGUAUGCGAAUAAAGCUUUUAGAGAGGAAAUCAAAUGCUGAAAGAUUUCUAAGUCAUUUAUCGCAGAAGGUAGCCUUGGAUGUUGUUUAGCUGAACGUCUCUGAUCAGUAGGUUAAACCGGUUUAAAACCGUUAUCAAUCAAUUGAGUGUACAGCUUAUUUAUGCUGUAAACAAAGGUGGUACCACGGAAUGAUCAACCCAAUUCGUCCUUUUU
Molecule: non-coding RNA, 235 nt
Filed under: Amphibacillus xylanus
Lineage: Bacteria; Bacillati; Bacillota; Bacilli; Caryophanales; Bacillaceae
Description: T-box sequence
Rfam family: T-box leader
About the family: Uncharged tRNA acts as the effector for transcription antitermination of genes in the T-box leader family. T-boxes are found upstream of many aminoacyl-tRNA synthetase genes and some amino acid biosynthetic genes usually in Gram-positive bacteria.
Source: RNAcentral